UUCUACUUGCUGCACCUGCUUGUUCUGCCGUCACCUGUGCUUCCCCUGCACCCCUCUCCCCUGUACACCAGCUACCUCGUUGUAAUCUUCUCCCUUAUUUUUCCUUAUAGCCACCAUAACUAGAUACAACUCUUGUAUCUUUUUUUUUUUAAAUAUAGAACUUUAAUGUCUUAAAACAGACAUUGUGCAAUCGUGUAAUUACAGUCCACUUGCAAUAAUUACAACUCACUCUAAGUGGUGUCCCCCUUCACACUUCUUCAUUAGUGUGGUUACGAUCAUACUGAAUGCCCUUUGUAUCAGUAUCAUCUAUGUUUUAGAACGCUGUUAAUUGGACCGAAGUAAUGUAAUGCAUUGACAAUGAGUUUGUCAGUCUAUGCAUUUUUUAAGUUUUAUAUAAAUUUCACAUAGAUUUUUUCACAUCCUAUUUUGACAUCCUAAGCAAUGCAUGCAAGUUGUCUCUUGAAAUGCUAACUGUAUUA
Long non-coding RNA from Etheostoma cragini (Arkansas darter), 479 nucleotides. RefSeq lists it as uncharacterized. Lineage: Eukaryota; Metazoa; Chordata; Actinopteri; Perciformes; Percidae. The record is from RefSeq and is a predicted model, not a curated record. The transcript is spliced from 2 exons.